ACACCGUUAUUUUCAGUGAAAUCUAUUGUAAAAUGAUUUCUUUGAUACCUUGGCACACGUUUGUCCCCAAAAUUAGGAAAAUUGGGUGUUUUACAUUUACUGCAGCUCUGAAACAACAUUUUAAGGCGAUAACUUUACCAGUGUGCCCAACAAUGUGAUUCCGGCAUGGUGACUUAUCCCUUUGCAGCAAAUAAAGCAACAAAGACUAUUGAAAGCUUACUCUAAUUGUAUCCCACUUACAUUAGUUGGCACCGUUAUUGGUAAAUGUGCACAAGAAACCUUUUUGUUUCCUCAGAUUACACGGAAUCGAGCACCCGGGCCAGACUGACACUUUCCGGAGCCUGUCCGAGACGGAACGCGAGCCUAGGAUUCAUAGGUCCAGGUCCGGCUGAAGUGACAGGCCAUCAAAAACUGUACAGCAUGACUGAUUCGGAGACAGCCCUCAACACUCGCCCAGUCGUGUCGAGAGGAUCGGUGUCUUUGUAGAUUACACGGAAUCGAGCACCCGGGCCAGACUGACACUUUCCGGAGCCUGUCCGAGACGGAACGCGAGCCUAGGAUUCAUAGGUCCAGGUCCGGCUGAAGUGACAGGCCAUCAAAAACUGUACAGCAUGACUGAUUCGGAGACAGCCCUCAACACUCGCCCAGUCGUGUCGAGAGGAUCGGUGUCUUUGUAGAUUACACGGAAUCGAGCACCCGGGCCAGACUGACACUUUCCGGAGCCUGUCCGAGACGGAACGCGAGCCUAGGAUUCAUAGGUCCAGGUCCGGCUGAAGUGACAGGCCAUCAAAAACUGUACAGCAUGACUGAUUCGGAGACAGCCCUCAACACUCGCCCAGUCGUGUCGAGAGGAUCGGUGUCUUUGUAGAUUACACGGAAUCGAGCACCCGGGCCAGACUGACACUUUCCGGAGCCUGUCCGAGACGGAACGCGAGCCUAGGAUUCAUAGGUCCAGGUCCGGCUGAAGUGACAGGCCAUCAAAAACUGUACAGCAUGACUGAUUCGGAGACAGCCCUCAACACUCGCCCAGUCGUGUCGAGAGGAUCGGUGUCUUUGUAGAUUACACGGAAUCGAGCACCCGGGCCAGACUGACACUUUCCGGAGCCUGUCCGAGACGGAACGCGAGCCUAGGAUUCAUAGGUCCAGGUGUGGCAAAAGACUUAAAGCUCAUGUCUGACGAUCACUUUUUUUGAGUCAGGAAUUCAAGUGUGUUGUAUUUCCAUGCAAGCAAGCCCUUUUGUUGGGUGAAAUGACAUCAGAAAUGCUGCUUCUACAUGGAUUUUACCUAAAAUGUGCCCCCCCCCCCAAAAAAAGUUUGUUCGAAACCUGUUCAAAACCUGCUUUGAUGCACAAAUAUUGCCAUUGAUGAUUUUUGUCACUUCUUCAGUCAUCUGUUACAUCAACUUUGCCUAUUAGAAUCGAAAGUGAUGACUUGUAUGAAGUCUAAGUGCUGCAUGUAUGAUGAAACCAAGUUUGGCUUUUCUUCCAUAAUUCUUGACGCGAAACGCUGUUACGCAUGACGCUUUCAACGGCGACUUUUAUGAAUAAAUCUGUGUGUCAUUGUA
Molecule: long non-coding RNA, 1565 nt
Organism: Dreissena polymorpha
Lineage: Eukaryota; Metazoa; Mollusca; Bivalvia; Myida; Dreissenidae
Exons: 9
Source: RefSeq, a predicted model, not a curated record